RNAcentral lists this long non-coding RNA (349 nucleotides) under Nicotiana benthamiana. RNAcentral's name for it is "long non-coding RNA (NBEN_LNC020747)". Lineage: Eukaryota; Viridiplantae; Streptophyta; Magnoliopsida; Solanales; Solanaceae. The record is from RNAcentral.
CCGCAUUCAUCUUCUGCCUUGUGCCCUUCUUCUGCGUCCUCCGUCAACUCUUCUCGUUCUCCUUCCCAUUUUCACUGACCUCCAUAAAAAUUCAAUCCCAUUUUCGACAAUUUUCACCCAUCACCUUCCCCAACAACCACGUGAUAAUAUUAUCAAUGACAUCUAUAAUAUUUUAAUCUCAUUUUCGAUAAUUUUUACCCAUUGUUAGAGCUGCUGAGGUCUUUACGAUUUGUUUGUCGGAAGAAAUGAACGGUGGUUGAUUUUAGUAUUGUCUUUUAUGAUUUUAAGAUGGAGUUCGAAAAUUGAAAACAAAGAUAACAGAAAAAAUAGAGAGAUGGGUGCUGCUCUG